GGUCAGCUGACACAUCCCUGCCAAUCUCCGGCAUACCCUCCCUCCCAGACCCUCCCACCUCCUGAACAGCAUCCAUGUUGAAGCUGCCUUCAACAUGGAUGCUGUCCAGGAAGUAGGAGGGUCUGGGAGGGAGGGUCUGCCAGAGAUUGGCAGGGAUGUGUCAGCUG
This 167-nucleotide microRNA precursor is filed under the name Pelobates cultripes (western spadefoot toad). The record is from RNAcentral. Lineage: Eukaryota; Metazoa; Chordata; Amphibia; Anura; Pelobatidae.